UGAUAAUUUAUCAAAAAAGGAGGAAGGCUCUUCACAUAGUGUUCAUUGACCUGAAAAAGGCAUAUGAUAAAGUACCAAAGUAAAUUCUGUGGUAGGUUCUAGAAAAGAAAAGAGUUCAUCUCAUUAUAUAAAUAUCAUCAAAGACAUGCACGUGGGGGCGGUCACAAGUGUAAAAAUAGUGGAAGGGGAUAUAGAUGAGUUUUCCAUGAUAGUGGGUUUACAUUAGGGAUCAACUUAAAUCUGUACCUCUUUACCUUAGGUAUGGAUGAGCUAAUCAAUCAUGUUUAAGAUGAUGUUCUAUGGUGUAUGUUACUUGCUUGAUAAUGUUGUGUUAGUGGAUGAAACUAGUGAAGUAGCUGAUCAAAAGUUGGAGUCAUUAAGGACUCUUGAAAGUAAGGGUUUUAG
This 405-nucleotide unclassified non-coding RNA is filed under the name Hevea brasiliensis (rubber tree). Lineage: Eukaryota; Viridiplantae; Streptophyta; Magnoliopsida; Malpighiales; Euphorbiaceae. The record is from RNAcentral.